UACGUAGGGUGCGAGCGUUGUCCGGAAUUACUGGGCGUAAAGAGCUCGUAGGCGGCUUGUCACGUCGGGUGUGCAAGCCCGGGGCUUAACCCCGGGUCUGCAUUCGAUACGGGCUAGCUAGAGUGUGGUAGGGGAGAUCGGAAUUCCUGGUGUAGCGGUGAAAUGCGCAGAUAUCAGGAGGAACACCGGUGGCGAAGGCGGAUCUCUGGGCCAUUACUGACGCUGAGGAGCGAAAGCGUGGGGAGCGAACGGG
RNAcentral lists this ribosomal RNA (253 nucleotides) under uncultured bacterium. RNAcentral's name for it is "partial 16S ribosomal RNA". It matches the Rfam family "Bacterial small subunit ribosomal RNA", at positions 524 to 776 of the family's 1533-position model. The record is from RNAcentral.